ACAAUGAAACAUUAUUCAUUGACAAAAAGAAAUGAGCUAUCAAGGCACAAACUACAUCGAUGAAUCUUAAAUGCAUGUUGUUAAAUGACAGAAGCCAGCCUGAAAAGGUGCUGUAGCAGUCAAGAUAAGCUAAGAGUGAGAAUGGGGAACAAGGCUAUAAACAAUCUGAGGACACAACGAAGUUAUAUUAAGCUUUGCAUCCAUCAAUGUACCUACUAGAGGUUGUUGGAAUCACAUUUGUGGGAAGAGUAAAGAGCAAAAGUUUCCUGUAAUGUAUUAAC
Macaca mulatta (Rhesus monkey) is the source of this 281-nucleotide non-coding RNA. Lineage: Eukaryota; Metazoa; Chordata; Mammalia; Primates; Cercopithecidae. The record is from RefSeq and is a predicted model, not a curated record.